CGUUCGUUGGGUAGGGGAGCGUUCUGUAAGCCUGUGAAGGUGUGUCGUGAGGCAUGCUGGAGGUAUCAGAAGUGCGAAUGCUGACAUAAGUAACGAUAAAGCGGGUGAAAAGCCCGCUCGCCGGAAGACCAAGGGUUCCUGUCCAACGUUAAUCGGGGCAGGGUGAGUCGACCCCUAAGGCGAGGCCGAAAGGCGUAGUCGAUGGGAAACGGGUUAAUAUUCCCGUACUUGGUGUUACUGCGAAGGGGGGACGGAGAAGGCUAUGUUGGCCGGGCGACGGUUGUCCCGGUUUAAGCGUGUAGGUGUGUGUUCCAGGUAAAUCCGGUUCACUUUAACACUGAGGCGUGACGACGAGGCACUACGGUGCUGAAGCAACAAAUGCCCUGCUUCCAGGAAAAGCCUCUAAGCAUCAGGUAACACGAAAUCGUACCCCAAACCGACACAGGUGGUCAGGUAGAGAAUACCAAGGCGCUUGAGAGAACUCGGGUGAAGGAACUAGGCAAAAUGGUGCCGUAACUUCGGGAGAAGGCACGCUGACACGUAGGUGAAGUGAUUUACUCAUGGAGCUGAAGUCAGUCGAAGAUACCAGCUGGCUGCAACUGUUUAUUAAAAACACAGCACUGUGCAAACACGAAAGUGGACGUAUACGGUGUGACGCCUGCCCGGUGCCGGAAGGUUAAUUGAUGGGGUCAGCGCAAGCGAAGCUCCUGAUCGAAGCCCCGGUAAACGGCGGCCGUAACUAUAACGGUCCUAAGGUAGCGAAAUUCCUUGUCGGGUAAGUUCCGACCUGCACGAAUGGCGUAAUGAUGGCCAGGCUGUCUCCACCCGAGACUCAGUGAAAUUGAACUCGCUGUGAAGAUGCAGUGUACCCGCGGCAAGACGGAAAGACCCCGUGAACCUUUACUAUAGCUUGACACUGAACAUUGAGCCUUGAUGUGUAGGAUAGGUGGGAGGCUUUGAAGUGUGGACGCCAGUCUGCAUGGAGCCGACCUUGAAAUACCACCCUUUAAUGUUUGAUGUUCUAACGUGGACCCGUAAUCCGGGUUGCGGACAGUGUCUGGUGGGUAGUUUGACUGGGGCGGUCUCCUCCUAAAGAGUAACGGAGGAGCACGAAGGUUGGCUAAUCCUGGUCGGACAUCAGGAGGUUAGUGCAAUGGCAUAAGCCAGCUUGACUGCGAGCGUGACGGCGCGAGCAGGUGCGAAAGCAGGUCAUAGUGAUCCGGUGGUUCUGAAUGGAAGGGCCAUCGCUCAACGGAUAAAAGGUACUCCGGGGAUAACAGGCUGAUACCGCCCAAGAGUUCAUAUCGACGGCGGUGUUUGGCACCUCGAUGUCGGCUCAUCACAUCCUGGGGCUGAAGUAGGUCCCAAGGGUAUGGCUGUUCGCCAUUUAAAGUGGUACGCGAGCUGGGUUUAGAACGUCGUGAGACAGUUCGGUCCCUAUCUGCCGUGGGCGCUGGAGAACUGAGGGGGGCUGCUCCUAGUACGAGAGGACCGGAGUGGACGCAUCACUGGUGUUCGGGUUGUCAUGCCAAUGGCACUGCCCGGUAGCUAAAUGCGGAAGAGAUAAGUGCUGAAAGCAUCUAAGCACGAAACUUGCCCCGAGAUGAGUU
This 1610-nucleotide ribosomal RNA is filed under the name Salmonella enterica subsp. enterica serovar Typhimurium. Its description in RNAcentral is "bacterial LSU rRNA". It matches the Rfam family "Bacterial large subunit ribosomal RNA", at positions 1218 to 2810 of the family's 2925-position model. Lineage: Bacteria; Pseudomonadati; Pseudomonadota; Gammaproteobacteria; Enterobacterales; Enterobacteriaceae. The record is from RNAcentral.